This 446-nucleotide ribosomal RNA is filed under the name uncultured bacterium. RNAcentral's name for it is "partial 16S ribosomal RNA". It matches the Rfam family "Bacterial small subunit ribosomal RNA", at positions 338 to 795 of the family's 1533-position model. The record is from RNAcentral.
CCUACGGGCGGCAGCAGUCGAGAAUCAUUCACAAUGGGGGAAACCCUGAUGGUGCGACGCCGCGUGGGGGAAUGAAGGUCUUCGGAUUGUAAACCCCUGUCAUGUGGGGGCAAAUUAAAAAGAUAGUACCACAAGAGGAAGAGACGGCUAACUCUGUGCCAGCAGCCGCGGUAAUACAGAGGUCUCAAGCGUUGUUCGGAAUCACUGGGCGUAAGGCGUGCGUAGGCUGUUUCGUAAGUCGUGUGUGAAAGGCGCGGGCUCAACCCGCGGACGGCACAUGAUACUGCGAGACUAGAGUAAUGUAGGGGGAACCGGAAUUCUCGGUGUAGCAGUGAAAUGCGUAGAUAUCGAGAGGAACACUCGUGGCGAAGGCGGGUUCCUGGACAUUAACUGACGCUGAGGCACGAAGGCCAGGGGAGCGAAAGGGAUUAGAUACCCUUGUAGUC